CGGGUGAGUAACACGUGGGCAAUCUGCCCUGCACUCUGGGACAAGCCCUGGAAACGGGGUCUAAUACCGGAUACUGACCCGCUUGGGCAUCCAAGCGGUUCGAAAGCUCCGGCGGUGCAGGAUGAGCCCGCGGCCUAUCAGCUUGUUGGUGAGGUAAUGGCUCACCAAGGCGACGACGGGUAGCCGGCCUGAGAGGGCGACCGUCCACACUGGCACUGACACACUCAUCAAAAAUUUAUACGGGAGGCAGCAGUGGGGAAUAUUGCACAAUGGGCGAAAGCCUGAUGCAGCGACGCCGCGUGAGGGAUGACGGCCUUCGGGUUGUAUACCUCUUUCAGCAGGGAAGAAGCGAAAGUGACGGUACCUGCAGAAGAAGCGCCGGCUAACUACGUGCCAGCAGCCGCGGUAAUACGUAGGGCGCGAGCGUUGUCUGGAAUUAUUGGGCGUAAAGAGCUCGUAGGCGGCUUGUCACGUCGGUUGUGAAAGCCCGGGGCUUAACCCCGGGUCUGCAGUCGAUACGGGCAGGCUAGAGUUCGGUAGGGGAGAUCGGGAUUCCUGGUGUAGCGGUGAAAUGCGCAGAUAUCAGGAGGAACACCGGUGGCGAAGGCGGAUCUCUGGGCCGAUACUGACGCUGAGGAGCGAAAGCGUGGGGAGCGAACAGGAUUAGAUACCCUGCUAGUCCACGCCGUAAACGGUGGGCACUAGGUGUGGGCGACAUUCCACGUCGUCCGUGCCGCAGCUAACGCAUUAAGUGCCCCGGCCUGGGGAGUACGGCCGCAAGAUUAAAACUCAAGGAUUGACGGGGGCCCGCA
RNAcentral lists this ribosomal RNA (812 nucleotides) under Streptomyces variabilis. RNAcentral's name for it is "bacterial SSU rRNA". It matches the Rfam family "Bacterial small subunit ribosomal RNA", at positions 103 to 925 of the family's 1533-position model. Lineage: Bacteria; Bacillati; Actinomycetota; Actinomycetes; Kitasatosporales; Streptomycetaceae. The record is from RNAcentral.